RNAcentral lists this unclassified non-coding RNA (288 nucleotides) under Glomus sp. RNAcentral describes it as "partial contains 5.8S ribosomal RNA and internal transcribed spacer 2". The stretch from base 1 to 71 matches the Rfam family "5.8S ribosomal RNA", at positions 84 to 154 of the family's 154-position model. The record is from RNAcentral. Lineage: Eukaryota; Fungi; Glomeromycota; Glomeromycetes; Glomerales; Glomeraceae.
GUGAAUCAUCAAAUUUUUGAACGCAAAUUGCACUUUUUGGUAUUCCGGAAAGUAUGUCUGUUUGAGGGUCAGUAAAAUAAAAAUCGGUGUUGUUGUUGCUUUUCGUGGUGACGCGUCGGAAUUGAGUUGUCUUACCUUCGGUUACGUGACUUAAAAUGUUGCAUGACCUUCGAACGUAUUUAAAUUUCGUACGUACGUUUGAGAUAUAGAAUACUUUAUUAGGUUCGGUCAUCCUCAUGAUUCGCACCUAUAAUUUUUCAUUAACUGACUUCACAUCAGUUAAGAAUA